GAGAGCGAGAAUUUGUUAUCUUCUAAUGUUUGAAACAGAGAUUUUAUAUGUAAGAUCGUCCUGACCCGGCUAAGAAUGAGAAUGGAGAAAGUCUGAGAGUUGUAAUUUCUUACGGGCGAGCUUUUGUUUACUGUUUUGAGAAAGUGACCUUUUGCGUGGAAGCCAGACUAGAUUGAUAUCCAACUAACCCAGCUGCCUGGAAUCAAAGUCUAAACAUUGUUCACACCCUAUUUCUUAAGUAUAAUUACAUAAUUACAUUUUAGUAUUUUUGCUGACCAUAUUUUAUUCUUGGAAUUUAAUGGAUUUUUUUUUAUAACAUAAUUAAUAAAAUCAAUUAUACUCGUUCAACGUGAUUCGUUUCUUUUUUUUUUUUUAAUUAUGCCAAUGUUAGGAAAUAGAAAUAAAUAAAAUGUAAUUUAACUAUUUAGAAAUUAAUCUGAAUAAUCAUAUGAGAUUAUACAAAAGCAAUUUAUUUGAAAAAUAUUUUUCAGACAACUCAUUUUUCUAUUAAUUAAUAAAAUAUAAAAAAUUUAUAUAUUAUGAAACUAAAAAUUUUGAAAUUAUAUAAAUGUUUAUAUUUUAAAAUUUAAUUGUUGGAUAUGAGAAAAAAUAUGUAAAAAAUAAUUAUUUAAUGUUUUAAAAACAUUCUUUUAAUUAUCAAUAUUCUAAUAAUUUAAGAUUUUAUAAUUUCUAUAUAUUGAAUUCAAAAUUUUUUAUUCCUGGUGUAUAAAUGAGAGAUGAAUCAUAUUAUUUUAAUAAUUUUUUAACAACCUACUGAUAAGAAGAUUUAAGUCAGACAAACUACACAACCAUUAAAUAAGUUACCAGCGUCCUUUACACGAAUUGUUUUUGGACGCAAUUAGCGACAAAGAGGAGCUGAAAUGUCAAAUUUCAAAAUGAAUUUUUUAAUAUUCUGAUAAUGAUUUUGUUAUUAAAAAAAAAAAACGAUAUUUGCGCAGUUGAGCACUGAUAUCAGGAAAUUUGGGUCAUGAAUGAUUAUCCUAUUUCACUUCGUCAACUCUUAUGUGAUUCUGAGCAUAAUACAUUCGGAUACUUCGCCUUAUAAUUAGUGUUUACUUAAUUUUGGGUUAUACUUUUUAAUCAUUAAAAUUAGAAAAAAAUUUCACCAUAUAAUAUCAGGACCGAAACAUAAUAUAUAUAUAUAUAUAUAUAUAUAUAUAUAUAUAUAUAUAAUUACUUCAAAAAUCUUGAAAAAACAAAAAUAAUUAAACAGAUAGCUAAUCUUUAAUGAACGAAUUAGUAAUGCAACGAACAAUUUAAAGUCGCAAAAAGAAUCACAGGAAGUGAACUAAUAAUUGUAAUUAAAAAUUCUUAAUUACCUCGUCUGCGAUACAAAACUAGCUGAUUAAGAGCUCUGAGUCCUCGCCUGUGGAAGGCAGUAGUUGUAUAUGUAAAUUUCUCCUUAUCGUUCUUAUCUAAUGCGCUGAAAUGGAGAGCGAGAAUUUGUUAUCUUCUAAUGUUUGAAACAGAGAUUUUAUAUGUAAGAUCGUCCUGACCCGGCUAAGAAUGAGAAUGGAGAAAGUCUGAGAGUUGUAAUUUCUUACGGGCGAG
Molecule: long non-coding RNA, 1572 nt
Filed under: Jatropha curcas
Lineage: Eukaryota; Viridiplantae; Streptophyta; Magnoliopsida; Malpighiales; Euphorbiaceae
Description: long non-coding RNA (JCUR_LNC003337)
Source: RNAcentral